AUAAAUUAGAAUGUUGUGAAAAAGUUAAUUUAUUUCAGUAAUUCAACUCAAAUUUUGAAACUUGUGUAUUAAAUAAAUUCAAUGCACACAGACUGAUGUAGUUUAAGUCUUUGGUUCUUUUAAUUGUGAUGAUUUUGACUCACAUUUAAUCAAAACCCAUUAAUUCACUCAACAAAGUAGAAUACUUCAUAAGACCAAUAAAAAAAUUUUUUUAAAUUUUUUUAGUGAAUUGUUGGCCUUCUGGAAAGUAUGUUCAUUUACUGUACAUGUACUCAAUACUUGGUAGGGGCUCCUUUUGCUUUGAUUACUGCCUGAAUUCGGCGUGGCAUGGAGGUAAUCAGUUUGUGGCACUGCUGAGGUGGUAUGGAAGCAAUACCCCAUAGAUUCUCUCUGGGGUUCAGGUCUGGUGAGUUUGCUGGCCAGUCAAGCAGUGUGGGCAGGUGCCAAAUCUUGCUGGAAAAUGAAAUCAGCAUCUUCAAAAAGCUGGUCAGCAGAAGGAAGCAUGAAGUGCUCCAAAAUUCCUUGGUAAACGGGUGCAGUGACUUUGGUUUUCAAAAAACACAAUGGACCAACACCAGCAGAUGACAUUGCACCCCAAAUCAUCACAGACUGUGGAAACUUAACACUGGACUUCAAGCAACUUGGGCUAUGAGCUUCUCUACCCUUCCUCUAGACUCAAGGACCUCCAGAUGAAAUACAAAACUUGCUCUCAUCUGAAAAGAGAACUUUGGACCACUGGGCAACAGUCCAGUUCUUCUUCUCCUUAGCCCAGGUAAGACGCCUCGGGAGUGGCUUAACAAGAUGAAUAUGACAACUGUAGCCAAAUUCCUUGACACGUCUGUGUGUGGUGGCUCUUGAUGCCUUGAACCCAGCCUCAGUCCAUUCUUUGUGAAGUUCACUCAGAUUCUUGAAUCGAUUUUGCUCGACAGUCCUCAAAAGGCUCAAAAGGCAAAAGGUUAUCUCGGUUGGUUGUGCAUCUUUUUCUUCCACACUUUUUCCUUCCACUCAACUUUCUGUUAACAUGCUUGGAUACAGCACUCUGUGAACAGCCAGCUUCUUUGGCAAUGAAUGUUUGUGGCUUACCCUCCUUGUGAAGCGUGUCAGUGAUUUUCUUCUGGACAACUGUCAGAUCAGCAGUCUUCCCCAUGAUUGUGUAGCCUAGUGAACCAAACUGAGACACCAUUUUGAAGGCUCAGGAAACCUCUGCAGGUGUUUUGAGUUGAUUAGCUGAUUGGCAUGUCACCAUAUUCUAAUUUGUUGAGAUAGUGAAUUGGUGGGUUUUUGUUAAAUGUGAGCCAAAAUCAUCACAAUUAAAAGAACCAAAGACUUAAACUACUACUUUUUGUGCAUUGAAUUUAUUUAAUACACAAGUUUCACAAUUUGAGUUGAAUUACUGAAAUAAAUGAACUUUUCCUCGACAUUCUAAUUUGAGAAGCACCUGUAUAUAUAUUAUACACACACACACACACAUGCACACACAAAGAAAAACAAGUAGAUAGAACAGAAAAAAUUAGAAAGCUAGUGUUAGUUUUUUUUUUUUUAAUAAAAAAAGAAGAUAAUAGAUAAAGUAGAAUUAAAAUAGAAUAGAAAGUGCUAGAGUUAGAGGGUCAAAUAAAGAUGGAACAGAUGUGUUUUUAGUCGUUUCUUGAAGAUGGCUAAGGGCUCAGCUGCUCGGAUUGAGUUGGGCAGGUCAUUACACCAGGAGGGAUCAGUUAAUGAUAAAGUCAGUGAAAGUGAUUAUGUGCAUCUUUGAGAUGGCACAAUGAUACGCUGUUCACUUGCAGAACGCAAGUUUCUAGAGGGCACAUUACUCUGAAGUAAUGAAUUUAGGUCAAUGGUAAUUUAAGUAAAUUAUGAUUAUAGGAACUAAACUGUUUGGUUACCAAUAUUCUUUAAAGGGGUCAUAUGACUUUGCUAAAAAGAACAUUAUUUUGUAUAUUUGGUGUAAUGCAACAUGUUUAUGUGGUUUAAGGAAAAAAAAAAACAUUAUUUUCUACUG
Long non-coding RNA from Cyprinus carpio carpio, 1999 nucleotides. Lineage: Eukaryota; Metazoa; Chordata; Actinopteri; Cypriniformes; Cyprinidae. The record is from Ensembl.